Medicago truncatula (barrel medic) is the source of this 591-nucleotide long non-coding RNA. RefSeq lists it as uncharacterized. The record is from RefSeq and is a predicted model, not a curated record. The transcript has 2 exons. NCBI's taxonomy places the organism in Eukaryota, Viridiplantae, Streptophyta, Magnoliopsida, Fabales, Fabaceae.
AAAAAAUAGUACUCUUAAUUAAGAUACUCUUUGAGCAAAUUUAUAUCUUUCUCCACUUAAAUGCAUUUUCAUAUAAUCCUCAUUCAUUUCACACACACGUAAAUACAUGUUCUAGAUUCUCUUAAUUGGCAGGAAGAUACAUGGCUUAUUUGAAGAAGGUUAUAUUGAACCUGACUUUGCUGUUUGUGAUUAUCUUGUCAAUGGAAGUGGCAACAACAGCAGCAAGGUUACCACUGUGGAAAAUUGAGCCUCAUCACAAAAUAAAUGGACGCCUACUUUAUAUUGUUGAUGAUGUUCCACGCGGCCACCACUAUAAGUCUCCUCCUCCUCCUCGUCCGUCUCCUCCUCCUCCUCCUCCUCGUCCAUGAUGCUGAUGAAUCCAGGGCACCAGAAUUAGCACGAUGGUGAAAAGAGCAAGUUGACAAUGAAUAAAAAAAGGGUGAAAAAGAAAGAUGCAAACAAAACUUGUGUAAUUGCAUAUUCACAUGCUUUAAUAAUUAAUAAACCUAUGAGUUGUAUCCAAAUAUUAUGAGUACUACUAAUUUAUGAGUUCUCGAUAUAUAGGCAAUUUUUGCAAGAGAUUUUUAGUGA